CCUAAUUAUCAUCAUCAUCAAUAUGAUAAAACUUGUUGCGUUGUGUACCUCUAUUUGGAACAAUGCAGAGCUCCAUCCGCAUUGAGCAGCAACGUGGACGAAAGAAUGUUUUGCUGAAUUACAUCCGUAGCAAGCCCAAGGUCUGGCAACUGGCAGGUUCCACAAGAUGGCAGCCUCCGCUGUUUGACGCUGAUUUAACGGCAGCUUUACCCUCCUACCAAACACAAAACCACAGAUGGCGCCGGAGAGGACUGAUUCAGCCACGCAUAUGGCAGCCGCCCGAUUAGGAUCGGGCGUAGGAUCUUUCGUAUCUCUCCAAAACAAUUAAAAUAUAGUUUAAAAUAUUUAUAUUUUCAGUUUGAAUAAAGAGUCUUUAAACACA
Ornithodoros turicata is the source of this 382-nucleotide long non-coding RNA. RefSeq lists it as uncharacterized. The transcript is spliced from 2 exons. The record is from RefSeq and is a predicted model, not a curated record. NCBI's taxonomy places the organism in Eukaryota, Metazoa, Arthropoda, Arachnida, Ixodida, Argasidae.